RNAcentral lists this ribosomal RNA (1062 nucleotides) under Triticum aestivum (bread wheat). Its description in RNAcentral is "partial small subunit ribosomal RNA". Lineage: Eukaryota; Viridiplantae; Streptophyta; Magnoliopsida; Poales; Poaceae. The record is from RNAcentral.
AUGGCAAUGGCAGUGGCGGCGUCGACCAUGGAGGUCGAUCAGGACCUCCCCGGCUUCCGGUUCCACCCCACGGAAGAGGAGCUCCUCGGCUUCUACCUCUCCCGCGUCGCACUUGGCAAGAAGCUCCACUUCGACAUCAUCGGCACCCUCAACAUUUAUCGCCACGAUCCCUGGGAUCUUCCCGGGAUGGCGAAGAUCGGUGAGAGGGAGUGGUACUUCUUCGUGCCGCGUGACCGGAAGGCGGGGAGCGGCGGGCGGCCGAACCGGACCACGGAGCGGGGAUUCUGGAAGGCAACGGGGUCGGACAGGGCCAUACGGAGCACCGGCGACCCCAAGCGGGUCAUUGGGCUCAAGAAGACGCUCGUCUUCUACCAGGGCCGCGCACCGCGGGGCACCAAGACGGACUGGGUCAUGAACGAGUACCGCCUCCCUGAAACCGGCGCGGCGCCGCCCAGUGAGGACACGGUGCUGUGCAAGGUAUACCGGAAGGCCACGCCGUUCAAGGAGCUAGAGCAGAGAGCCUUUGAGAUGGAGGAGAUGAAGCAGAGGUCCGGCGGCAACGGUGGGUACGGCUACAGUGGCGCGGCCAGAGCGUGCCCUGUUCCGGCAGCCGGCGACUUCUACCUGUCGCCGUCCGACGACGUCCAGGACAACUUCCUGAUCCCCUCUUCCCCCUCCUCCUCGUCGGUGGCGCUGUCCGGCAACAGCAGCAGCCACGACGCGCCCAGGGUAACCAAGAAGGAAGCAGACGUCGCCAUGGUCACCGUCGCGUCGACGUCGUCUUUGUCGCAAGCGGCGAACGCCCCCUUCCAUCUGCAGGUUCCGGCCGUGAACCCACCCUGCAGCAUCCAGUUACCGGCGGCGAACUAUGGGAUGCCGAACAUGUCCACCCUGCAGCUACCGGCGGCGAGCAAGGGUGUGCUGGACCUGCCCAGCCUGCAACUACCGGCGGGGAGUAGCCACGGAGUGUUCGACUGGCUAAAUGACCCGUUCCUGACGCAGCUGCGCAGCCCGUGGCAGGACCAGCAUUGCAUGUCCCCUCACGCCCAUCUUCUAUACUAG